Molecule: ribosomal RNA, 538 nt
Filed under: Pseudomonas sp.
Lineage: Bacteria; Pseudomonadati; Pseudomonadota; Gammaproteobacteria; Pseudomonadales; Pseudomonadaceae
Description: bacterial SSU rRNA
Rfam family: Bacterial small subunit ribosomal RNA
Source: RNAcentral
CGAGCGGAUGACGGGAGCUUGCUCCUUGAUUCAGCGGCGGACGGGUGAGUAAUGCCUAGGAAUCUGCCUGGUAGUGGGGGACAACGUUUCGAAAGGAACGCUAAUACCGCAUACGUCCUACGGGAGAAAGCAGGGGACCUUCGGGCCUUGCGCUAUCAGAUGAGCCUAGGUCGGAUUAGCUAGUUGGUGGGGUAAUGGCUCACCAAGGCGACGAUCCGUAACUGGUCUGAGAGGAUGAUCAGUCACACUGGAACUGAGACACGGUCCAGACUCCUACGGGAGGCAGCAGUGGGGAAUAUUGGACAAUGGGCGAAAGCCUGAUCCAGCCAUGCCGCGUGUGUGAAGAAGGUCUUCGGAUUGUAAAGCACUUUAAGUUGGGAGGAAGGGCAUUAACCUAAUACGUUAGUGUUUUGACGUUACCGACAGAAUAAGCACCGGCUAACUCUGUGCCAGCAGCCGCGGUAAUACAGAGGGUGCAAGCGUUAAUCGGAAUUACUGGGCGUAAAGCGCGCGUAGGUGGUUUGUUAAGUUGGAUGUG